GCCUAGGAAUCUGCCUGGUAGUGGGGGACAACGUUUCGAAAGGAACGCUAAUACCGCAUACGUCCUACGGGAGAAAGCAGGGGACCUUUGGGCCUUGCGCUAUCAGAUGAGCCUAGGUCGGAUUAGCUAGUUGGUGAGGUAAUGGCUCACCAAGGCGACGAUCCGUAACUGGUCUGAGAGGAUGAUCAGUCACACUGGAACUGAGACACGGUCCAGACUCCUACGGGAGGCAGCAGUGGGGAAUAUUGGACAAUGGGCGAAAGCCUGAUCCAGCCAUGCCGCGUGUGUGAAGAAGGUCUUCGGAUUGUAAAGCACUUUAAGUUG
Molecule: ribosomal RNA, 324 nt
Filed under: Pseudomonas fluorescens
Lineage: Bacteria; Pseudomonadati; Pseudomonadota; Gammaproteobacteria; Pseudomonadales; Pseudomonadaceae
Description: bacterial SSU rRNA
Rfam family: Bacterial small subunit ribosomal RNA
Source: RNAcentral